RNAcentral lists this ribosomal RNA (253 nucleotides) under uncultured bacterium. Its description in RNAcentral is "partial 16S ribosomal RNA". It matches the Rfam family "Bacterial small subunit ribosomal RNA", at positions 524 to 776 of the family's 1533-position model. The record is from RNAcentral.
UAGGUAGGGGGCAAGCGUUGUUCGGAAUUACUGGGCGUAAAGGGCGCGUAGGCGGCCAGUUGCGUCGGGUGUGAAAGCCCCGGGCUCAACCUGGGAGGUGCACUUGAUACGGGCUGGCUGGAAUCCGGGAGAGGAUGGUGGAAUUCCCAGUGUAGAGGUGAAAUUCGAAGAUAUUGGGAAGAACACUGAUGGCGAAGGCAGCCAUCUGGACCGGGAUUGACGGUGAGGCGCGAAAGCGUGGGGAGCAAACAGG